Molecule: ribosomal RNA, 2053 nt
Filed under: Listeria monocytogenes
Lineage: Bacteria; Bacillati; Bacillota; Bacilli; Caryophanales; Listeriaceae
Description: partial 23S ribosomal RNA
Rfam family: Bacterial large subunit ribosomal RNA
Source: RNAcentral
GUGAAUGCCUUGGAAAAUGGAGCCGAAGAAGGACGUGAUUACCUGCGAAAAGUCUGGGGGAGCUGGAAGUAAGCUGCGAUCCCGGAAUGUCCGAAUGGGGAAACCUAACAUGAUUUAUCUCAUGUUAUCUAUAAGUGAAUACAUAGCUUAUAAGAAGGGAACCUAGGGAACUGAAACAUCUUAGUACCUAGAGGAAAAGAAAAUAAUAAUGAUUCUGUUAGUAGUGGCGAGCGAACACGGAACAGGCCAAACCGUUCUACGGGGCGGGGUUGUAGGACUUUUGUUAGAGUUACAAAGUUAUUGUAUAGUAGAAGCUAUUGGGAAGUAGCGGCAUAGAGGGUGAUACCCCCGUAUACGAAAUGCAAUAACCUCGAGAAAGUAUCCUGAGUACGGCGAAACACGUGAAAUUUUGUCGGAAUCUGCCAAGACCACUUGGUAAGCCUAAAUACUACCAUUUUACCGAUAGUGAACCAGUACCGUGAGGGAAAGGUGAAAAGCACCCCGAGAGGGGAGUGAAAGAGAUCCUGAAACCAUAUGCUUACAAGAAGGUAGAGCCCGUUAAUGGGUGAUACCGUGCUUUUUGUAGAAAGAGCCGGCGAGUUACUAUUGCAUGCGAGGUUAAGUCGAUAUAGAUGGAGCCGUAGUGAAAGCGAGCCUUAAUAGGGCGUUUAGUAUGCAGUAGUAGACACGAAACCGGGUGAUCUAGCCAUGAGCAGGUUGAAGUUAGGGUAAAACCUAAUGGAGGACCGAACCAGUAUUCGUUGAAAAGACUUUGGAUGACUUGUGGCUAGCGGUGAAAUUCCAAUCGAACCCGGAGAUAGCUAGUUCUCCCCGAUAUAUCUUUAAGGAUAGCGUUAUGUGAAUUGUUGUGGAGGUAGAGCACUGAAUCUAUGAUGGCUGCACCUAGCGGUACUGAUUAGAAUUAAACUCCGAAUGCCAUAACUUGUGCAUAGCAGUCAGAACAUGGGUGAUAAGGUCCAUGCUCGUGAGGGAAACAGCCCAGAUCGUCAGCUAAGGUCCCUAAGUGUAAACUAAGUGUGUAAGGAUGUGGAACUGCACAGACAGCUAGGAUGUUGGCUUAGAAGCAGCCAUCAUUUAAAGAGUGCGUAACAGCUCACUAGUCGAGUGAUUCUGCGCCGAAAAUGUACCGGGGCUUAAGUUUACCACCGAAGCUACGGAUUGUACGCAAGUACAGUGGUAGGGGAGCGUUCCAAGGGUGAUGAAGUCAGACCGUAAGGACUGGUGGAGCGCUUGGAAGUGAUUAUGCCGGCAUGAGUAACGUUUGGAAGUGAGAAUCUUCCAUGCCGUUUGACCAAGGUUUCCUGGGCAAGGUUCGUCCACCCAGGGUUAGUCAGGACCUAAGACGAGGCCGACAGGCGUAGUCGAUGGACAACAGGUUGAUAUUCCUGUACCAGUUAAUUAGUGAUGGAGUGACGGAGAAGGAUAGUAUAUCCCGGGUGCUGGUUGUCCCGGGCUAAGCACAAAGACGGCAACAUUGGCAAAUCCGUGUUGUAUUAACGUUGAAGUGUGAUGGGGAGUGAACGGUUCGCCUAGUAACGAAGUAUAUGACUCCACGCUUCCAAGAAAAGCUUCUAACAUUAAUAAUUAACUGCCUGUACCUAGAACGAACACACGUGGUCAAGGAGAAAAUCCUAAGGCAAGCGAGAUAACUGUAGCUAAGGAACUCUGCAAAAUAACUCCGUAACUUCGGAAGAAGGAGUGCUCAUCUUUGAUGAGCCGCAGUGAAGAGGGAGGGGCAACUGUUUAACAAAAACACAGCUCUCUGCUAAGUCGCAAGACGAUGUAUAGGGGGUGACACCUGCCCAGUGCCGGAAGGUUAAGAGGAGAAGUCAGCGCAAGCGAAGCUUUGAAUUGAAGCCCCGGUGAACGGCGGCCGUAACAAUAACGGUCCUAAGGUAGCGAAAUUCCUUGUCAGGUAAAUUCUGACCCGCACGAAAGGUGUAAUGAUCCCUUCGCUGUCUCGGCUGCAGACUCGGUGAAAUUUUAGUACCGGUGAAGAUGCCGGUUACCCGCAACUAGACGGAAAGACCCC